GACGAACGCUGGCGGCGUGCCUAAUACAUGCAAGUUGAGCGCUGAAGGUUGGUACUUGUACCGACUGGAUGAGCAGCGAACGGGUGAGUAACGCGUGGGGAAUCUGCCUUUGAGCGGGGGACAACAUUUGGAAACGAAUGCUAAUACCGCAUAAAAACUUUAAACACAAGUUUUAAGUUUGAAAGAUGCAAUUGCAUCACUCAAAGAUGAUCCCGCGUUGUAUUAGCUAGUUGGUGAGGUAAAGGCUCACCAAGGCGAUGAUACAUAGCCGACCUGAGAGGGUGAUCGGCCACAUUGGGACUGAGACACGGCCCAAACUCCUACGGGAGGCAGCAGUAGGGAAUCUUCGGCAAUGGACGAAAGUCUGACCGAGCAACGCCGCGUGAGUGAAGAAGGUUGUCGGAUCGGAAAACUCUGUUGGUAGAGAAGAACGUUGGUGAGAGUGGAAAGCUCAUCAAGUGACGGUAACUACCCAGAAAGGGACGGCUAACUACGUG
This 497-nucleotide ribosomal RNA is filed under the name uncultured bacterium. Its description in RNAcentral is "partial 16S ribosomal RNA". It matches the Rfam family "Bacterial small subunit ribosomal RNA", at positions 28 to 507 of the family's 1533-position model. The record is from RNAcentral.